Molecule: ribosomal RNA, 301 nt
Filed under: uncultured bacterium
Lineage: Bacteria
Description: partial 16S ribosomal RNA
Rfam family: Bacterial small subunit ribosomal RNA
Source: RNAcentral
CAGCAGCCACGGUAAUACGUAGGGUGCGAGCGUUAAUCGGAUUUACUGGGCGUAAAGCGUGCGUAGGCGGCUUCUUAAGUCGGAUGUGAAAUCCCUGAGCUUAACUUAGGAAUUGCAUUCGAUACUGGGAAGCUAGAGUAUGGGAGAGGAUGGUAGAAUUCCAGGUGUAGCGGUGAAAUGCGUAGAGAUCUGGAGGAAUACCGAUGGCGAAGGCAGCCAUCUGGCCUAAUACUGACGCUGAGGUACGAAAGCAUGGGGAGCAAACAGGAUUAGAUACCCCUGUAGUCCCUGUCUCUUAUAC